RNAcentral lists this ribosomal RNA (427 nucleotides) under uncultured bacterium. RNAcentral's name for it is "bacterial SSU rRNA". It matches the Rfam family "Bacterial small subunit ribosomal RNA", at positions 28 to 454 of the family's 1533-position model. The record is from RNAcentral.
GAUGAACGCUGGCGGCGUGCUUAACACAUGCAAGUCGAACGGGAUCCCAGGAGCUUGCUCCUGGGUGAGAGUAGCGAACGGGUGAGUAAUGCGUGACCGACCUGCCCCAUACACCGGAAUAGCUCCUGGAAACGGGUGGUAAUGCCGGAUGCUCCAGUUGACCGCAUGGUCCUCUGGGAAAGCUUUUGCGGUAUGGGAUGGGGUCGCGUCCUAUCAGCUUGAUGGCGGGGUAACGGCCCACCAUGGCUUCGACGGGUAGCCGGCCUGAGAGGGCGACCGGCCACAUUGGGACUGAGAUACGGCCCAGACUCCUACGGGAGGCAGCAGUGGGGAAUAUUGCACAAUGGGCGCAAGCCUGAUGCAGCGACGCCGCGUGCGGGAUGACGGCCUUCGGGUUGUAAACCGCUUUUGACUGGGAGCAAGCCCU